UACGUAGGUGGCAAGCGUUAUCCGGAAUUAUUGGGCGUAAAGAGCGCGCAGGUGGUUAAUUAAGUCUGAUGUGAAAGCCCACGGCUUAACCGUGGAGGGUCAUUGGAAACUGGUUGACUUGAGUGCAGAAGAGGGAAGUGGAAUUCCAUGUGUAGCGGUGAAAUGCGUAGAGAUAUGGAGGAACACCAGUGGCGAAGGCGGCUUCCUGGUCUGCAACUGACACUGAGGCGCAAAAGCGUGGGGAGCAAACAGG
RNAcentral lists this ribosomal RNA (253 nucleotides) under uncultured bacterium. RNAcentral describes it as "partial 16S ribosomal RNA". It matches the Rfam family "Bacterial small subunit ribosomal RNA", at positions 524 to 776 of the family's 1533-position model. The record is from RNAcentral.